Molecule: ribosomal RNA, 253 nt
Filed under: uncultured bacterium
Lineage: Bacteria
Description: partial 16S ribosomal RNA
Rfam family: Bacterial small subunit ribosomal RNA
Source: RNAcentral
UACGGAGGGAGCGAACGUUGUUCGGAAUUACUGGGCGUAAAGCGCACGUAGGCGGCUUUGUAAGUUAGAGGUGAAAGCCCGGGGCUCAACUCCGGAACUGCCUUUAAGACUGCAUCGCUUGAAUCCGGGAGAGGUGAGUGGAAUUCCGAGUGUAGAGGUGAAAUUCGUAGAUAUUCGGAAGAACACCAGUGGCGAAGGCGGCUCACUGGACCGGCAUUGACGCUGAUGUGCGAAAGCGUGGGGAGCAAACAGG